UCUCCGAGGAUGUGGUCCUCAAGCUCUUCCUGUCCUUCAGCGGCUCGGAUGUGCAGAACAAGUUAAAGGAGUCAGCACAGUGCGUCGGGGACGAAUUCAUGAACUGUAAGCUGGCUACCAGGGCCAAGGACUUCCUCCCAGCUGACAUCCAGGCUCAGUUUGCCAUCAGCCGGGAGCUGAUCCGGAACAUCUACAACAGCUUUCACAAGCUUCGCGACAGGGCCGAGCGGAUCGCGUCGCGGGCCAUCGACAACGCGGCAGAUCUUCUCAUAUUCGGGAAGGAGCUAAGUGCAAUAGGGUCUGACACGACCCCGCUGCCCUCCUGGGCCGCUCUGAACAGCAGCACGUGGGGGUCCCUGAAGCAGGCUCUGAAAGGCCUGUCUGUGGAAUUCGCGCUGCUCGCCGACAAGGCCGCACAACAGGGUAAGCAGGAAGAGAACGACGUGGUGGAGAAGCUGAACCUCUUCUUGGAUCUGCUGCAGUCCUAUAAGGUGAGUCUUGGCUGCUCCUUGGUUGGGGGCAGAACUUUCAGGAAUGAUCUUAGGAUCCUUCUAGGGUCU
This 560-nucleotide small RNA is filed under the name Pongo abelii (Sumatran orangutan). RNAcentral describes it as "retained intron". The record is from RNAcentral. Lineage: Eukaryota; Metazoa; Chordata; Mammalia; Primates; Hominidae.